GGGACUGUGGCUCAGUGGUAGAGCACCUGCUUUUCAUGCAGAAGGCCCUGGGUUCAACCCUCGGCAGAUCCA
Molecule: non-coding RNA, 72 nt
Organism: Hemicordylus capensis (graceful crag lizard)
Lineage: Eukaryota; Metazoa; Chordata; Lepidosauria; Squamata; Cordylidae
Source: the annotation of a RefSeq genome assembly